GUGCUUGUCUCCACAGCAUAUAUACUAAAAUUGGAAAGAUACAGAGAAGUUUAUCAUGGACCCUGUGCAAAAAGGACACACAAAUUUGUGAAGCGUUCCAUAUUAAA
This is a small nuclear RNA of Pipistrellus kuhlii (Kuhl's pipistrelle), 107 nucleotides long. Lineage: Eukaryota; Metazoa; Chordata; Mammalia; Chiroptera; Vespertilionidae. The record is from RefSeq and is a predicted model, not a curated record.